This 492-nucleotide ribosomal RNA is filed under the name uncultured bacterium. RNAcentral's name for it is "partial 16S ribosomal RNA". It matches the Rfam family "Bacterial small subunit ribosomal RNA", at positions 28 to 507 of the family's 1533-position model. The record is from RNAcentral.
GAUGAACGCUAGCUACAGGCUUAAUACAUGCAAGUCGAGGGGAAACGACAUCGAAAGCUUGCUUUUGAUGGGCGUCGACCGGCGCACGGGUGAGUAACGCGUAUCCAACCUGCCCAUCACUUGGGAAUAACCUUGCGAAAGUAAGACUAAUACCCAAUGACAUCCCACGAAGACAUCUGAAUGGGAUUAAAGAUUUAUCGGUGAUGGAUGGGGAUGCGUCUGAUUAGCUUGUUGGCGGGGUAACGGCCCACCAAGGCAACGAUCAGUAGGGGUUCUGAGAGGAAGGUCCCCCACAUUGGAACUGAGACACGGUCCAAACUCCUACGGGAGGCAGCAGUGAGGAAUAUUGGUCAAUGGGCGAGAGCCUGAACCAGCCAAGUAGCGUGCAGGAUGACGGCCCUAUGGGUUGUAAACUGCUUUUAUAAGGGAAUAAAGUGGGUCUCGUGAGACUUUUUGCAUGUACCUUAUGAAUAAGGACCGGCUAAUUCCGUG